CCUACGGGUGGCUGCAGUGGGGAAUAUUGCACAAUGGGCGCAAGCCUGAUGCAGCCAUGCCGCGUGUGUGAAGAAGGCCUUCGGGUUGUAAAGCACUUUCAGCGGGGAGGAAGGCGGUGAGGUUAAUAACCUCAUCGAUUGACGUUACCCGCAGAAGAAGCACCGGCUAACUCCGUGCCAGCAGCCGCGGUAAUACGGAGGGUGCAAGCGUUAAUCGGAAUUACUGGGCGUAAAGCGCACGCAGGCGGUCUGUCAAGUCGGAUGUGAAAUCCCCGGGCUCAACCUGGGAACUGCAUUCGAAACUGGCAGGCUAGAGUCUUGUAGAGGGGGAUAGAAUUCCAGGUGUAGCGGUGAAAUGCGUAGAGAUCUGGAGGAAUACCGGUGGCGAAGGCGGCCCCUUGGACAAAGACUGACGCUCAGGUGCGAAAGCGUGGGGAGCAAACAGGAUUAGAUACCCUUGUAGUC
RNAcentral lists this ribosomal RNA (465 nucleotides) under uncultured Klebsiella sp. Its description in RNAcentral is "bacterial SSU rRNA". It matches the Rfam family "Bacterial small subunit ribosomal RNA", at positions 338 to 795 of the family's 1533-position model. Lineage: Bacteria; Pseudomonadati; Pseudomonadota; Gammaproteobacteria; Enterobacterales; Enterobacteriaceae. The record is from RNAcentral.